CCCUUAGAUGUUCUGGGCCGCACGCGCGCUACAAUGAUGAAUUCAACGAGUUUAUAACCUUGGUUGAAAAGCCUGGGUAAUCUUUUGAACUUUCGUCGUGAUGGGGCUAGACCCUUGCAAUUAUUGGUCUCCAACGAGGAAUUCCUAGUAAACGCAAGUCAUCAGCUUGCAUUGAUUACGUCCCUGCCCUUUGUACACACCGCCCGUCGCACCUACCGAUUGAACGUUCCGGUGAGACCUUGGGAUUUGGUCUUUGGUACUUUAUUGUGCCGUUGACCGAAAAACUUGAGCAAACCUUAACGUUUAGAGGAAGGUGAAGUCGUAACA
RNAcentral lists this ribosomal RNA (327 nucleotides) under uncultured eukaryote. RNAcentral's name for it is "partial 18S ribosomal RNA". It matches the Rfam family "Eukaryotic small subunit ribosomal RNA", at positions 1470 to 1796 of the family's 1831-position model. The record is from RNAcentral.